AACCAUGAAUUAAGAUAUUAGAAUUCCUACAUCAUCACCACCCAGAGCCAAGAGAGUUUGGUGGUGUUUCAAUUUCAGCCCAAGUUUUCUCUAUUCGUCGUCUCCUUCUCCCUCUCCUCCAUUAUUUCCAUUACAUGACAGUUGAAACGCUUUCUCCCGAUCGUGUACAAUUCAUUUUCGAUUGAGCAUCUUGAGCAGAACUCUGAUCACUAUUAAUUCACUUUCUGAUGGCGUUGAGCACCCAAACUGGGUCUGCAGGUUCAGCUUUCCUAUGGAAGUACGACGUGUUUUUGAGCUUCAGAGGCGAAGACACCCGUAAGGACUUCACAGAUUACUUGUAUGACAAGUUGCAGUGGCGAGGAAUCAGGACUUUCAGGGAUGAUCCACACCUUGAAAUAGGCACAACAAUCUCUCCAGAACUCCUCACUGCAAUCAAGCAAUCCAGGUUUGCGAUCGUUGUUCUUUCGCCAGACUAUGCUAGUUCUACUUGGUGCUUGCUUGAACUGUUAAAGAUCUUUGAAUCCAUGGAGGAGAGAGGGAGAAUUCUGCCAAUCUUUUAUGAGGUGGAACCCUCAGAUGUGAGACAUCAAAGGGGAAGCUUUGCUGAAGCGUUUGAAAAACAUGAAGAGAAGUUUGGGGAAGGUAAUAAGGAGGUGGGAGGGUGGAGGGAUGCCUUAACCAAAGUGGCCAAUCUCGCUGGGUGGAGUUCAAAGGAUUACAGGUAUGAAACAGAGCUUAUCAGAGACAUUGUGCAUGUACUCUGGAGCAGGGUGCAUCCUAGUCUCACUGUAUUUGGGUCCUCAGAGAAGAUAGUUGGAAUGGAUACUAAGCUGGAGGAAAUAGAUGUUCUUUUAGAUAAAGAAGCAAAUGAUGUUCGAUUUAUAGGGAUAUGGGGGAUGGGUGGUCUUGGUAAGACAACCCUUGCUAGACUAGUUUAUGAGAAAAUCUCUCAUCAAUUUGAAGUUUGCAUCUUUCUUGCUGAUGUCAGAGAGGUUUCCGCAACCCACGGUCUAGUUUAUCUACAAAAACAGACUCUUUCCCAAAUCUUGAAGGAAGAAAAUGUUCAAGUAUGGAACGUUUAUAGUGGAAUCACUAUGAUAAAGAGAUGUUUUUGUAAUAAAGCGGUUCUUCUAGUUCUUGAUGAUGUGGAUCAACUAGAGCAACUGGAAAAAUUGGUGGGAGAAAGAGACUGGUUUGGUUCAAGAAGUAGAAUCAUCAUUACAGCUAGAGAUCGGCAUGUCCUAGUCACAUACGGUGUAGAAAAACCAUAUGAGUUGAAGGGAUUAAACGAAGAUGAAGCUCUUGAGCUCUUUAGUUGGAAAGCUUUUAGGAAAUAUGUCCCUGAAGAAGAUUAUGCCAAACUCUCUAAAAGUUUUGUCAUGUAUGCUGGAGGCCUCCCCUUAGCUCUUAAAACUUUGGGGUCUUUCUUGUACCAAAGGAGUCCAGAUGCAUGGAAUUCUGCAUUGCAAAAACUACGGAGUACUCCAAACAAAACAAUUUUCGAAUUGCUAAAAGUGAGUUAUGAUGGACUUGAUGAGAUGGAGAAGAAAAUUUUUCUGGACAUCGCAUGUUAUUCUUCACAAUGUCGAGCCAAGUUUAUUAUUGAACUACUAUAUAGUUCUGACGUUUGCAAUGGUAUUGCAAUAGAUGUUCUUGUUGAGAAAUCUCUCUUAACUAUUUCAUCAGACAAUGAAAUAGGUAUACAUGAUUUGAUACAAGAAAUGGGAUGUGAAAUUGUUCGCCAAGAGUCUUAUGAAGAGCCAGGUGGGCGCAGUCGGUUGUGGCUUCGCAAUGACAUUUUUCAUGUAUUCACAAAUAAUACGGGAACAGGAGCCAUUGAAGGCAUAAUGUUACACUUGGAUAAAUUAGAAGACGCAGAAUGGAAUCUUGAAGCCUUCUCUAAAAUGUGUAAACUGAAGCUGCUCUACAUUCAUAAUUUAAGGCUUUCUCUUGGCCCCAAAUAUCUUCCUAAUGCCUUGAUAUUUCUAAAUUGGAGUUGGUAUCCUUCAAAAUCUCUCCCACCAGCUUUUCAACCGGAUGACCUUACUGAACUUAGUUUGGUGCAUAGCAAUAUUGAUCACCUCUGGAAUGGAAUAAAAUACUUGAGCAAGUUGAAAUCUAUCGACCUUAGUUACUCCUUAAACUUGACAAGGACCCCAGAUUUCACAGGUACUCCAAAUCUUGAGAAGUUGGUUCUUGUAGGUUGUACGAGUUUAGUUAAGAUCCAUCCAUCCAUUGCAUUGCUCAAGAGACUCAAAAUUUGGAAUUUUAGAGACUGCAAAAGUAUCAAGAGUCUACCAAGUGAAGUGCAUAUGGAGUUUCUUGAAAAAUUUAAUUUAUCUGGCUGCUCAAAGCUGAAAAGGAUUCCAGAAUUUGUGGGGCAAAUGAAAAGAUUAUCGCUUUCUUUAGGUGGGAGUGCUGUUGAGAAACUGCCUUCAUCAAUUGAGUUAUUGAGUGAGAGUGUUAUAAGAGAGCAGCAGAAUUUCAUGGUACCAUCUUUUGGCUUCUUUCCAAGAAAGAGUCCUCACCCUUUGAAGCAUUUCUCUUGUUUGAGGGAAUUAAAUCUGAACGACUGUAAUCUCUGUGAAGGAGAUAUUCCCAAUGAUCUUGGUUCUCUGUCCUCCUUAGAGAGGUUGGAACUCAGAGGAAACAAUUUUGUUAGCCUUCCUGCAAGCAUUCAUUUGCUUUCUAAGCUUUGGCUUCAACAAUUGCCAGAACUUCCGGCAAAUCACGACUUAUGACAACUAUUUCCAGUUGACAAUUCCUGGAAGUGAAAUUCCUGUGUGGUUCAGUAAUCAAAGUGUGGGAGGAUCGGUGACUGAGAAGUUCCCUUUGGAUGCAAGUAAUAGCAAGUUGAUUGGAUUUGCUGCAUGUGCUCUAAUUGUACCUCAAGAAAAUCCGUCUGCACACCGUGGUGUAGAUCGUGAUCACCUUUUGUUUGUUGUGCCGCCCUAUGACCUGGAGGACCCAAGCCAUGAAGUUACGUUUGACUUCGAAAUCUUUGGAAGCCUAAACAGAUGCAUGAAGGUGAAGAAAUGUGGGGCCCGUGCACUGUACCAGAACGACAAGGAAGAGCUGAUCAGUAGAAUGAACCAAUCCAAGAGAAGCAUUUCUUUUUACGAGGCUACGGAUGAACAAGAAGGUGCCAUGGUUAAGGCAACAAAAAAGGCAAGGCUUCAUAGAAUGGUUUGAGCAAGUCAGCUAAAGUGCUGUGUGUAAAAAUUUUGUUUAGAGUGUCAAACUGGUGAUGUUACUACUGAAAUUGUCAAUGAUUCAGACAUAACACGCAGAUCAUGUUUUCUAUUGAUCCAUUUCUUGUUUAAGUCUUUAUCUAGAGAAAACGAGAAAAUUUUGAAUCAAUCUUUUUUGUUUACAUCUUGUCUGGAGGUGUGUAUGGUAAAUGAGUAAAAGAUUGAUGUACUAAUAUUAAUGUCAAAGCCAGAAGCAAGCUUA
This is an RNA transcript of Fragaria vesca subsp. vesca, 3453 nucleotides long. It is a transcript of the gene named TMV resistance protein N-like, with no coding region annotated. The record is from RefSeq and is a predicted model, not a curated record. NCBI's taxonomy places the organism in Eukaryota, Viridiplantae, Streptophyta, Magnoliopsida, Rosales, Rosaceae. The transcript is spliced from 5 exons.